UUCUUCCACCUUAACUGAGGAUUUGCUUGAUUCGACAGAGAUACAGACAAGCGUCCUCUUUUCAAUCGACAAGAAAUUGUCAAUUGCACUUGAUUUGCUUCGCCAGGAGAUCACCGAACUCAGGAAGAGCUUGGAAUUCACGCAACAACAAGUGAAUGAUCUAAGAUUAGAUAAUACUGCGCUUCGAUCAAACAUGAUGUCAACGUCAGCAGAACUACAAACUCUUAGACUGGAAUAUAAACUCAUGAAAGAAACUACGUUGGACAUUCAAUCAAGAAGCAUGCAUGACAACCUCAUUUUCUCAGGCAUUCCAGACAAUGCUCUGGAAGACCCCGAGGAGCAGAUUAAAAAGUUUAUGAUGACCGCGCUCAAGAUACAACAAGAUACAGUCGACAAGAUUACUUUUCACCGUGUCCACCGAUUGGGAGGCCCUCAUCCAGGAAACCGACUACGUCCCAUCAUUGCAAAGUUUGAACACUUUCAGCAAAAAGUGUUUGUAAAAUCCAAACGUCGGGAUCUUAAAGGGACUUUGUUUGGAAUGAACGACCAGUUCCCUAAGGAGAUUAAUGAGACGCGUAGAGUUUUGUACCCGUUGAUGAAGAAUUUCCGUGAGAAAGGCAAACGAGCGUGGUUAGUUGUCGACAAGCUAUAUGUCGACGGCCAACUGUUUCGUGAUGACAACGUCACGCCCUGGCUCUUCUAGAUAAGUACUACUUUUGAUCUGUUGUCAGUAUGAAUUGUCAAAAAUGUAUUGUAUUUUGUUUCAUUCUUUCCACUUUUGCGUAGAUAAACAAAAACGGAAUCAUGCAUGCCACCAGCAUGCAUCCUCACUCCUAUCUCCCUGCUUUCCUGCUCUACUUGCUUCCACACACACUAAACGCACAAGUCGCGCAAAACUCUUUUUGCACACCACAAACCACCACCAUACAACAUAUUAUCCCCUUGUCAGUUUGUUUCCUAUGUUCAGUGUUUGCUCGUUACCCUUCUAUGUACCCUUGCUUUGCAGUAUUUGAAUAUAGCAUCUCUAUCACCCUCUCUAAAUAACAUUCGUCAACACAAUACCAAAUAAUCUCCCGAAAACUGUCAAAAAAACAACAACAAAGAAUGCAUAGUACCAAAUCUUUUUCAAAUUAUGAUACACACACCCAUUAUAUGUCACACUUAACAUUUGUCAAUGGCAUUCGAUCACAGGCAAAGAGAAUUAACGUUAUGGAUUAUACCACUAAACUUAAAACAGACCUCCUCCUAUUACAAGAAACACACCUUACUAAGUCAGAAGAAAAAUGCCUCAUUGACUCUAAUUUCACUCAUGUUAUCUCGGCCUUUUAUAACUGUAGACAAAGAGGAGUCUCAAUACUAGUCCAUAAAAGUGUCAUGGGUGUGUGUUCUGGUUUUUGUCUUCCCCCUGUUUCAUACACACCUGAACAUGAGGGCAUCUUCACCACCUGUGCCUCGUUCACCCUAAUUACACCUUGCAUUUUCCUUCCGGCUGAGGGAAGGGCUGUGCUUCUACUGCAGGCAGUUGGGUAAUUCCAUGAGCCACUGUCACGUCAAGGUUGCCGGUGCCGGUACCAAGGGCACGGGAGAGGGCCGGAACACAAGGCUAUAAAGGAGUAUGUGGAUGAAUCACUGGCAGUCGGGAUUAUUCGCCCAUCUUCAUCCCCUGCGGGAGCCGGAUUUUUCUUUGUGGACAAGAAGGACAAGACUCCGCGACCCUGUAUCGAUUACCGGCGUCUCAACGACAUAACGGUGAAAAACAGGUACCCUCUUCCUCUCAUCUCCACCGCCUUUGAGUUCCUGGAGGGAGCGAAGGUUUUCACCAAACUCGACUAAAGAAAUGCAUAUCAUUUAGUCAGGAUAAAGGAGGCGGAUGAAUGGAAAACAGCCUUCAACACACCAACGGGACAUGACGAGUAUUUGGUGAUGCCUUUUGGACUAACUAACGCUCCAGCUGUGUUCCAGAACUUUGUCAAUGAUGUCCUGCGUGACAUGUUGAAUGUGUAUGUUUUUGUGUACUGCAGAAUGAACUAUAUGUCAAGGCUGAGAAAUGUGAGUUCCACAAGGAGUCCGUUUCUUUUCUGGGGUUCGCGCUGGCUCCAGGUGAAAUCAAAAUGGACCCUUGCUAAGUUGAUGCCGUGACUAAUUGGCCCACUCCCACGUCACGCAAAGACGUACAAAGGUUCUUAGGGUUCGCUAAUUUCUACAGAAAGUUCAUUCGAAACUUCAGUUCUAUAGCCUCGCCUUUGCAUGAUCUUACCUCGCCACACAGACCUUUCGUAUGGAACCCGCUUUGGCAGGCAGCUUUUCAGAAACUUAAAUCGAGCUUUACAUCCGCUCCCAUCCUCACUUUGCCAGAUCUCAAACAGCAGUUUAUGGUAGAAGUAGAUGGGUCUGAUGCCGGUAUAGGAGCAGUGCUCUCCCAGAAAUGUCUCAAGGAUGGUAAAUUACAUCCUUGUGCUUAUCUCUCCAAAAAACUGAUCCCAGCCGAGAGAAAUUAUGACAUUGGUGACCGUGAACUGCUGGCAGUCAAGGUGGCUUUGGUGGAGUGGAGGCACUGGCUAGAGGGGGCAGAUACUCCGUUUUUAGCAUGGACAGAUCACAAGAACCUGGAAUAUCUUAAGUCUGCCAAGAGAUUAAAUGCGAGGCAGGCUCGAUGGGCUCUGUUUUUCACUAGUUUCAAUUUCACGCGUUAUCCUACCGACCUGGUUCUAAAAAUGGUAAGCCAGAUGCUUUAUUGCGCAUUUUCUGCGCAGAGAAUUUUUUGUCCGACCCUCAAACCAUUUUGCCCAAGUCGUGUUUCGUUUCUGCUUUUGUUUGGGACUUUGAGACUGCGGUAAAGGAGGCUCUGAAGAACACUCUUAGCCCGUAAAAUUGCCCUGAAAACAUGCUUUAUGUGGCUCCGACCUCAAGGGGAAGAGUCAUCCACUGGGCCCACACUAACCGGACUGUAUGUCACCCAGGCAUUGCCAAGACUCAAUCUGUGGUCGAACAGCGCUUUUGGUGGCCCAAUGUUAGAAGGGAUGUCACCAAUUAUGUCAAUGCUUGCCAGGUAUGUGCUGCCAACAAGUCCUCUCAUAAAGGUCCUUCUGGGGAGUUACGACCCCUGCCAAUACCACAACGUCCUUGGUCAGACAUCUCCGUAGACUUUGUAACGGGAUUACCGGUCUCGAAAGGAAAUACCACCAUUCAAACAGUCAUGGACAGGUUCUCUAAGAUGGCACACUUCGUUGCACUCCCAAAACUCCCCUCAGCUAAAGACACUGCCGAGUUAAUGAUACACCAGGUAUUCAAGUUGCAUGGUUUCCCCAAGAAUGUGGUAUCCGAAAGGGGUCCCCAAUUCAUUUUGCAAUUUUGGAAGGAGUUUUCCAAUCUCAGAGGUGCUACCGUCAGUCUGUCAUCUGGGUUUCACCCUGAAACCAACGGCCAAACCGAGAGCCUGAACCAGGACCUGGAGACUGUGCUCCGAUGUCUCGCUUCAUAGGAGCCACGAUCCUGGUCUCAGAAACUGGUUUGGGUUGAAUUCUCUCACAAUUCCCUCCCCUCUGCAUCCACUGGUCUAUCGCCUUUUCACGUUGUGCAUGGUUACCAACCAUCUCUGUUUCCUGCCAUAGCCCCAGAGUCUACAGUUCCAGCUGCAUUGACCUUGGUGAGACGCUGCAGGAGGACCUGGGAGCGAGCCCGCCAGAUGUUGCUGCGCCAGGGACGGUCCUACAAAACCACUGGUGAUUGUCGGAGGACACCGGCCCCGAGCUACAAAGUGGGUCAGCGAGUUUGGCUUUCCACCAAGCAUAUUCUACUCCAGGUGGAGUCCCGGAAGUUCACUCCCAGCUUAGGCUCCCAAGGUCGAUGCGGGUCCACCCUGCUUUUCACGUCAGCCUGCUCAAACCAGCCCGGGUGUACCCUGUGGUCCCGCCUUCCAGGCGUUGAAUGUGUAUGUCCUGUCCUCACUGUGAGGCGGCUGUUGUCGUCUCGUCGGAGGGGGAGGGGGUUUCAAUAUCUGGUGGACUGGGAGGGCUAUGGGGCUGAGGAACG
This is a long non-coding RNA of Phyllopteryx taeniolatus (common seadragon), 4032 nucleotides long. RefSeq lists it as uncharacterized. NCBI's taxonomy places the organism in Eukaryota, Metazoa, Chordata, Actinopteri, Syngnathiformes, Syngnathidae. The record is from RefSeq and is a predicted model, not a curated record. The transcript has 3 exons.